UACGGGGGGGGCAAGCGUUGUUCGGAAUUACUGGGCGUAAAGGGUUCGUAGGUGGCCAACUCAGUCAGACGUGAAAUCCCUCAGCUCAACUGGGGAGCUGCGUCUGAUACUAGAUGGCUCGAGUGCAGGAGAGGAACGCGGAAUUCCAGGUGUAGCGGUGAAAUGCGUAGAUAUCUGGAGGAGCACCGGUGGCGAAGGCGGCGUUCUGGACUGCAACUGACACUGAGGAACGAAAGCCAGGGGAGCAAACGGG
Molecule: ribosomal RNA, 253 nt
Filed under: uncultured bacterium
Lineage: Bacteria
Description: partial 16S ribosomal RNA
Rfam family: Bacterial small subunit ribosomal RNA
Source: RNAcentral